This 170-nucleotide ribosomal RNA is filed under the name Oneirodes carlsbergi (Oneirodes carlsbergi (Regan & Trewavas, 1932)). Its description in RNAcentral is "(Oneirodes carlsbergi (Regan & Trewavas, 1932)) partial 12S rRNA". The record is from RNAcentral. Lineage: Eukaryota; Metazoa; Chordata; Actinopteri; Lophiiformes; Oneirodidae.
CACCGCGGUUAAACGGGCAGCCCAAAUUGAUAGCCAUCGGCGUAAAGGGUGGUUAUGAACUUAACUAAAAUAAAGUCAAAUGCCUUCAAGACUGUGACACGCACCCGAAGACAAGAAAGCUCAACUACGAAAGUGACUUUAAGAACUCUGACCCCACGAAAGCUGUGACA